CACAUGCAGUCGACGGCAGCGGGGACUUCGGUCUGGCGGCGAGUGGCGAACGGGUGAGUAAUGUAUCGGAACGUGCCCAGUAGCGGGGGAUAACUACGCGAAAGCGUAGCUAAUACCGCAUACGCCCUACGGGGGAAGCAGGGGAUCGUAAGACCUUGCACUAUUGGAGCGGCCGAUAUCGGAUUAGCUAGUUGGUGAGGUAACGGCUCACCAAGGCGACGAUCCGUAGCUGGUUUGAGAGGACGACCAGCCACACUGGGACUGAGACACGGCCCAGACUCCUACGGGAGGCAGCAGUGGGGAAUUUUGGACAAUGGGGGCAACCCUGAUCCAGCCAUCCCGCGUGUGCGAUGAAGGCCUUCGGUUUGUAAAGCACUUUUGAAAGGAAAGAAACGUCGCGCCUAAUACCCCGUGGAACUGACGGUACCUGCAGAAUAAGCACCGGCUAACUACGUGCCAGCAGCCGCGGUAAUACGUAGGUGCAAGCGUUAAUCGGAAUUACUGGGCGUAAAGCGUGCUCUUUCUUUUCGAAAANAAAGAUGUGAAUCCAGAGCUUAACUU
RNAcentral lists this ribosomal RNA (561 nucleotides) under bacterium tet-w-40. RNAcentral's name for it is "bacterial SSU rRNA". It matches the Rfam family "Bacterial small subunit ribosomal RNA", at positions 52 to 615 of the family's 1533-position model. The record is from RNAcentral.